ACGUCAUCUCUGACCCUUUCCUCUGAAGUUCAAACCCAGGUAAGGUUCUGCGCGUUGCUUCGAAUUAAACCACAUGCUCCGCUGCUUGUGCGGGCCCCCGUCAAUUCCUUUGAGUUUUAGCCUUGCGGCCGUACUCCCCAGGCGGGGUGCUUAAUGCGUUAGCUUCGGCACGGAGGGAGUCGACACCCCCCACACCUAGCGCCCAACGUUUACGGCAUGGACUAC
RNAcentral lists this unclassified non-coding RNA (225 nucleotides) under uncultured bacterium. RNAcentral's name for it is "contains 16S-23S intergenic spacer region". The record is from RNAcentral.